AGUCAUAUGCUUGUCUCAAAGAUUAAGCCAUGCAUGUCUCAGUACAAGCCAAAUUAAGGUGAAACCGCGAAAGGCUCAUUAAAUCAGUUAUGGUUCCUUAGAUUGUACCCACACUUACUUGGAUAACUGUGGUAAUUCUAGAGCUAAUACAUGCCAACAGAACUCUGACCGGAGACGGAAGGAGUGCCUUUAUUAGAACAAAACCAAUCGGUGGCAUGGCCCCGGUCAUGUCAUCGUACAAGAUGGUGAAUCUGAAUAACGUUUGCUGAUCGCACGGUCUUGCACCGGCGACGCAUCUUUCAAAUGUCUGCCUUAUCAACUUUCGAUGGUAGGUUCUGCGCCUACCAUGGUUGUAACGGGUAACGGGGAAUCAGGGUUCGAUUCCGGAGAGGGAGCCUGAGAAACGGCUACCACAUCCAAGGAAGGCAGCAGGCGCGCAAAUUACCCACUCCCGGCACGGGGAGGUAGUGACGAAAAAUAACGAUACGGGACUCAUCCGAGGCCCCGUAAUCGGAAUGAGCACACUUUAAAUCCUUUCACGAGGAUCAAUCGGAGGGCAAGUCAGGUGCCAGCAGCCGCGGUAAUUCCUGCUCCGAUAGCGUAU
RNAcentral lists this ribosomal RNA (604 nucleotides) under Anillochlamys subtruncatus. RNAcentral's name for it is "SSU rRNA". It matches the Rfam family "Eukaryotic small subunit ribosomal RNA", at positions 22 to 602 of the family's 1831-position model. Lineage: Eukaryota; Metazoa; Arthropoda; Insecta; Coleoptera; Leiodidae. RNAcentral also lists the same sequence under 1 other name. The record is from RNAcentral.